RNAcentral lists this ribosomal RNA (161 nucleotides) under Ramularia vizellae. RNAcentral's name for it is "partial 18S ribosomal RNA". It matches the Rfam family "Eukaryotic small subunit ribosomal RNA", at positions 1673 to 1831 of the family's 1831-position model. Lineage: Eukaryota; Fungi; Ascomycota; Dothideomycetes; Mycosphaerellales; Mycosphaerellaceae. The record is from RNAcentral.
CCGUCGCUACUACCGAUUGAAUGGCUCAGUGAGGCCUUCGGACUGGCUCAGGGAGGUCGGCAACGACCACCCAGAGCCGGAAAGUUGGUCAAACUCGGUCAUUUAGAGGAAGUAAAAGUCGUAACAAGGUCUCCGUAGGUGAACCUGCGGAGGGAUCAUUA